RNAcentral lists this ribosomal RNA (483 nucleotides) under uncultured bacterium. RNAcentral's name for it is "partial 16S ribosomal RNA". It matches the Rfam family "Bacterial small subunit ribosomal RNA", at positions 30 to 507 of the family's 1533-position model. The record is from RNAcentral.
AUUGAACGCUGGCGGCAUGCCUUACACAUGCAAGUCGAACGGCAGCACGGGUGCUUGCACCUGGUGGCGAGUGGCGAACGGGUGAGUAAUACAUCGGAACAUGUCCUGUGGGGGAUAGCCCGGCGAAAGCCGGAUUAAUACCGCAUACGAUCUACGGAUGAAAGCGGGGGACCUUCGGGCCUCGCGCUAUAGGGUUGGCCGAUGGCUGAUUAGCUAGUUGGUGGGGUAAAGGCCUACCAAGGCGACGAUCAGUAGCUGGUCUGAGAGGACGACCAGCCACACUGGGACUGAGACACGGCCCAGACUCCUACGGGAGGCAGCAGUGGGGAAUUUUGGACAAUGGGCGAAAGCCUGAUCCAGCAAUGCCGCGUGUGUGAAGAAGGCCUUCGGGUUGUAAAGCACUUUUGUCCGGAAAGAAAUCCUUGGCCCUAAUACGGUCGGGGGAUGACGGUACCGGAAGAAUAAGCACCGGCUAACUACGUG